This 234-nucleotide ribosomal RNA is filed under the name uncultured bacterium. RNAcentral describes it as "partial 16S ribosomal RNA". It matches the Rfam family "Bacterial small subunit ribosomal RNA", at positions 102 to 334 of the family's 1533-position model. The record is from RNAcentral.
CACGGGUGAGUAACGCGUAUCCAACCUGCCGUCUACUCUUGGACAGCCUUCUGAAAGGAAAGAUUAAUACAAGAUGGCAUCAUGAGUCCGCAUGUUCACAUGAUUAAAGGUAUUCCGGUAGACGAUGGGGAUGCGUUCCAUUAGAUAGUAGGCGGGGUAACGGCCCACCUAGUCUUCGAUGGAUAGGGGUUCUGAGAGGAAGGUCCCCCACAUUGGAACUGAGACACGGUCCAA